GAUGAACGCUGGCGGCGUGCCUAAUACAUGCAAGUCGAGCGAACGGACGAGAAGCUUGCUUCUCUGAUGUUAGCGGCGGACGGGUGAGUAACACGUGGAUAACCCACCUAUAAGACUGGGAUAACUUCGGGAAACCGGAGCUAAUACCGGAUGAUAUUUUGAACCGCAUGGUUCAAAAGUGAAAGACGGUCUUGCUGUCACUUAUAGAUGGAUCCGCGCUGCAUUAGCUAGUUGGUAAGGUAACGGCUUACCAAGGCAACGAUGCAUAGCCGACCUGAGAGGGUGAUCGGCCACCCUGGAACUGAGACACGGUCCAGACUCCUACGGGAGGCAGCAGUAGGGAAUCUUCCGCAAUGGGCGGAAGCCUGACGGAGCAACGCCGCGUGAGUGAUGAAGGUCUUCGGAUCGUAAAACUCUGUUAUUAGGGAAGAACAUAUGUGUAAGUAACUGUGCACAUCUUGACGGUACCUAAUCAGAAAGCCACGGCUAACUACGUG
Molecule: ribosomal RNA, 497 nt
Filed under: uncultured bacterium
Lineage: Bacteria
Description: partial 16S ribosomal RNA
Rfam family: Bacterial small subunit ribosomal RNA
Source: RNAcentral